Molecule: non-coding RNA, 135 nt
Organism: Triticum aestivum (bread wheat)
Lineage: Eukaryota; Viridiplantae; Streptophyta; Magnoliopsida; Poales; Poaceae
Source: Rfam
UUUGUACUCCCUCAGUCCCAAAAUUCUUGUCUUAAAUUUGUCUAAAUACGGAUGUAUCUAGUUACAUUUUAGUGUUAGAUACAUCCGUAUCUAAACAAAUGUAAGACAAGAAUUUUGGGACGGAGGGAAUACUAC